Molecule: long non-coding RNA, 6418 nt
Filed under: Nicotiana tabacum (common tobacco)
Lineage: Eukaryota; Viridiplantae; Streptophyta; Magnoliopsida; Solanales; Solanaceae
Description: long non-coding RNA (NTAB_LNC004876)
Source: RNAcentral
CCUCGUAAUAUGCGUCCUCACCAUCUGUGAGAGAAUUAGAACAACGGAAAUUUAGUCAAUAGAAUCAACAGAUUCGCACAACAAGAAUUCAAGAAUGUGAAGUUUUUCCUAAGGGUUCGGCAACCUCUCGAAGAUAAGUACAGACGUCUCCGUACCGAUCCGCAAGACUCUACUAAACCUGCUCAUGACUCGUGAGACCUAUGUAACUUAGGCUCUUAUACCAACUUGUCACGACCCAAAACCUCACCCGUCGUGAUGGCGCCUAUCGUGAUACUAGGAAGCCGACAUUUUCAAAACACUUUCAAAAUACUUCAAUAUUUCAUAAAAAGGAUAAUUCAAAGUUUUUUCAUACUAGAAAGUUUUACAAAAGCCGGAGUUGAAUUCAAAAUAAAAUACAGAAAAAUAGCCCCAAACAUCGGGGUGUCACCAAGUCAUGAGCAUCCAGAUAUCCAGUCUAAUAAAAACAGUGUCUAAGUAUCAAUAUAGAAAAGAAAGAAUACAUAGAAGGAGAGACAAGGUCUGCGGACGCCGGCAGCUACCUCGUAGUCUCCGGUACUCGAUCGCGCACGAACUCAAUGACCUCCAUGAUCAAACACACCUGGAUCUGCACAUGAAGUGCAUGGUGUAGUAUGAGUACAACCAACUCAGCAAGUAACAGAAAUAAAUAAGGAACUGAAAAGGUAGUGACGAGCUAUACAAAUACAGUUCAUUUUCAAUAAUUCCAGCAAAGAAUAGACAUGCUUUCAAAUCCGGCAGUUCAAAUCAAAUCAGUUUUAUAUAGUUACAGUGCAGGUAAAUCCAAAUAUAGAAUCUUUCAAAAAUUUCACAACAAUGACAAAUAGCAACUAAGUGCAUCAACAAAUGAAAAAGCAAGUACAGCCUCUCAGGGCAACAGUCACUCAACUCGUCACCACAACUCAAUCACUCGGCUCUCAGCCCUCAGUACUCACACUCAAUAGGUACAUGUGCUCAUUGGGGGUGUGCAGACUCCGGAGGGGCUCCUUUCAGCUCAAGCGCUAUAUUCGCAUGGACAACUCAUGUGAUGCACAGAUAACUCACGUGCUAUAGUAUCAAUAUAUGGAACCGCACGGAUAACUCAAGUGUUGCACGGAUAACUCACGUGCCACAGUAUCAAUACGUGAAACCGCACGGAUAACUCACAUGUUGUACGGAUAACUCAUAUGCCAUAGUAUCAAUACCUCACAAACAGGCCCUCGGCCUCACUCAGUCAUCAGCCUCUCUAAUCUCUUGUGGUCUCGGAAAUCACAAAGAUUGGCCCAAACAAAGAUAACGUAGUGUAUCAACAAAUAUCAAGAAGAGGCUGAGAUAUGAUACGUAAAUAAAACUAUGACUGAGUACAAGACAACAAUCAACAAGUAAUUCAUCAAGUGCGCGACCUUUGCGGGUCCCAACAGUACCAUCACAUAGCCUAAGCAUGAUUUCUAACAUGAUUUGCAAUCAAUUUCUAUAACACAGGGAGAGCAUAUAGCUAGUAACAAGUUAUUCAACUUUACAGUUUCAUGGAAUGGGCUAAGUCCCAAUUGCUACGGUGUACGCCCACACGCCCGUCACCUGGCAUGUGCGUCACCUCCAAAAUACUCACAUAAUCCAAUAAUCUGAGGCUUCAUACCCACAGGACCAGAUUUAAAAGUGUUACUUACCUCAACCGCGCAAAACUCCUACUCCAAAAUGCCUUUGCCCCUCGCAUCAAUCUCCAAACGUCCCAAAUCUAGCCACAAGCUGUAUGAUAUAAUUAAUAUAAGCUAAACGAAUCAAUUCCGAAAGAAAAACACAAAAUUAUAAGCCAAAAUCCGAAAUAGGCUCAAACCCGGCCCCCGGGCCCACGUCUAGAAAUCAAACAAAAGUCACAAAACCCGAAAGCUCAUUCACAUACGAGUCUAACCAUACUAAAUUCAUCAAAAUCCGACAUCAUUUGGUCCUCCAAUUCCCUAAAAUCCACUCUCCCAUUCUCAAGUCCUAAACUCCCAAAUUUCACUUCAAAAUCUCGCUAAUUAGGUGGGGAAGUCAGUGGGGAAUCAAGAUUUAUGAUAAAAAAAUGAGUACAAGAAACUUACCUCAAUAAUCCCCUCGAAAAUCUUCUCCAAAAUCGCCUAAGUCCGAGUCUCAAAUGGUGAAAUAAGACUAAAAUCGUGAACCCUUGCCUUUUAAACCUUCUUCCCAGACUUUUCGCAUUUGCGGACCCACUGUCGCAUCUGCGGAAAAUCCAACGCAGGUGCGAAUUUCACCUAAAAUCCCAGAUUCCGCUCCUGCGGCUUCAAGACCGCAUCUGCGGAAACCCAUCACAUCUGCGACUAAAACUCAUGUAUGCGCCCAGUUGUCCGCUUUUGCGACCAUCGUAGGUGAGGGAAAAUCUUCGCACUUGCGACUUCUGCUCAACUCCUCCUUGGCUGCUUCUGCGGUCCCAUCCCCGCUUCUGCGAGCUCGCACCUGCGGUGCCCACUCCGCAGGUGCGGUUACACCAGUAGCAGCAACACUUCAGCUGCUUCAUCAAUUCAAAAGUUCAAGUCCGUUAACCAUCCGAAAUCAACCCGAGGCCCCCGGGACCUCAACCAAACAUACCAACUAGUCAUAUGACCCAAUGCAAACUUAGUCGAACCUUCAAAUCACUCAAAACAAUAUCAAAAUACCGAUUACACCCAGAUUCAAGCCUACAGAACUUCUAAACUUCCAAAUUCCACAAACGAUACCAAAACCUACCAUACCAUGUCCGAUUGACCUAAUAUUUUGCACACAAGUCAUAUUCAACACUACGGACCUAUUUCAACUUCCGAAAUCAGAAUCCGACCCCGAUAUCAGAAAGUCAACCCCUUGGUCAAAUUUUUCAAAAAAUUGACUUUCGCCAUCUCAAGCCUAAAUUAGCUACAGACCUCAAAUUCACAGUCCAGACAUGCUCCUAAGUCCAAAAUCACCCAACGGAACUAACAUAACCGACGGAACUCCAUUCCGGAGUCGUCAUCACACACUUCCGACUACGGUCAAAAUCCUGAGACUUAAGCUUUCGUUUUAGGGACUAAGUGUCCCAAAACACUCGAAAACCAAAAAUAAGACCUCCCGGCAAGUAACAUAAGCCGAAACAGAUACGAAAAAAAUAGUAAAUAGGAGAUCGGGGCUAAUACACUCAAAAUGACCGGCCAGAUCGUUACAAGUUAACCUAAUCUUAUUUGAACUAAACCUUAUCCUUUCUUCUCCCAGUAAUCAUACUGUACAAAUCUGUUAAGGUCAACUUAUCUUUCCUCACAAUAUGAUCAUGAUACUGUUUCAUUUCUCUUUGUUAUAAAUAUUGAUAAUUGGUUAUACUGAACUUAACUGUUUUCUUAAUUAAUCAACACCCUCAACUGCAUCCUUACUUGGUAUAAUGUCUCUUAUAUCUUAUCUUUAGGGUCAUCAUUCAUCUUUGAAAAUCUAGCAUGCAUUUUAUCUUUUUAAGAGACCUAGUUACUCUUACCUGACUAAGUGAUAACUUGUAAAAAUGGAAGCAUGAUCAUCUUUGUAUUCAUGUGAUAACCCAGACUUAAGUUUGAGUUGAACUUGACCUGGUAUAAUGUCUUUCCCUUUUCUAUAACUUUGCUUAAUCUAAUCCUACAAAAAAUGUGUAAAGUUUCCUCUGUUUAUAUAAGAUCACUAUUGCAUUUGAAGUAUUUAAGUAUCUGACUGAAUACUGCAUGUUCUUACUUAGUUUCUGAUAUAUUUUGUCCAGAAUUGCCUUAUUCCUUGAUCUCCCGAUAACUUUAAAACCAAACUCAAUCCCUAGGCCUCAUAAAGAUCCUUGCUGAUACUAUCUGAACUUGAUACCAUUAGGAGUAUGAUGCUUAGGGAUUCCCUGUUAGUAUGUAAAUUUGUGGACCUAUUGAGAAAGUUGAUCGUGUCAUAGAUAUCUUUGAAACCUUUAUAUAUGCUGAGUUAUUGUUGUAUAGCUUUACCUUUCCUUGGAGUAUUGCUUUAUUCUAAAUUUAGACUCUUGUAACAUGUUUGUGAUAUUUCUGAUGUUCACUUGUAUGAGUUUCAGAACCAGAUCUUUAGAAUUCAUUUGAUACAUGUUUGUUUUGGUAAUUCAAUAUAGACUAUAUAUUCUUAUGUUAGGAGGGAAAGUAUAUUUUGUGAAAGGUAAAGCUAUUGAAUUCAAUUUACAUUGGAAGGGCCUCGUUGACAUUUAAACCCGUAAGGAACACGUGUUGUUAGUGUUUAAGGGUAUUUGGGAGUGGAGUUCGACUCUAGGUUGAGAUGUCCACCCCGGCACAGGCAUUGCCCUAGGCCUUGAGUCCCUUGAGAACAUUGAAGUGUCGGGGAUCCAAAGGGAGCAUCGACCUUGGGUGGAGCUUCCUCCUUAGCCCUUAAUUCAUUGACACAUUUAAUUCUUUAGGGGUUUAGUGUUUAAUGACAACGAAAGGUUUUCAAUGUGAAUUAUUUGCUAAGUAGAACCACCACAUUAAUAUAACUUCCCACAAUAUUGAUUAUUUUCUUAGUUCAUUUAUUUGUCUAUAUACCUGUCAUGUGUAUUGGAAUCUGCUGAGAUUGUGGGAAUAUUUCUAAUGACCUUCUUUUAUUUUUUGGGCAUGUGUACAUUUGGGUGUCACGACCCGAAAUUUCUACCUAUGGAACCGUGAUGGCGCCUAACAUUUCACUUGCUAGGCGAGCCAACGUUAGAAUAUAAUUAGCCAUUUNNNNNNNNNNNNNNNNNNNNNNNNNNNNNNNNNNNNNNNNNNNNNNNNNNNNNNNNNNNNNNNNNNNNNNNNNNNNNNNNNNNNNNNNNNNNNNNNNNNNNNNNNNNNNNNNNNNNNNNNNNNNNNNNNNNNNNNNGUAAAGUGAAUAAUCCAUAAUAAUCGCGAUAUCUAAAUACCAUCCCAAAACUAGAGUCACAAGUGCACGAGCUUCUAGAAUAAUACAAAUAAGGGUCUGAAUGAAAUAAAGUUGUCUGAAAGAAAGCACACAGCUAAAAUAAAGUAGAAGGGGACUUCAGAGCUGCGAACGUUAUGCAGCUAUACCUCAAGUCUCCACUGGUAGUUGAAUCCGAGCAAGUCUAUGGUACGUCGCUGAGACCAACUUCGAAAUUUGCACAAGAAGUGCAGAGUGUAGUAUCAGUAUAACCAACCCUAUGUACUGAUAAGUGUCGAGCCUAACCUCGACGAAGUAAUGACGAGGCUAAGGCAGGUCACUUACUUUAACAUGUACGCAAUAAUAAUAAUAAUAAGUAAGACAUGUAAAUCAUAUCAAUAAUUAAAAUUAUUUCAGCAGUCACAACCAAUUAUUUCUUUUCUCAUUCUGUUCCGGCGUGCAACCCGCUAAAACAAUAUAAACUUAAAAUAUAAUCUGUUGCGGCGUGCAACCUGAUUCCCCAAUAUAAUCCUUCAAUUAAAUUCCUUUACGGUGUGCAAUCCGCUCCAAUAAUAUAAUUUAACAACCCUUAAAUGUAAUAUAAAUACUCCAAUAAAUACCACAUUCGAUAAGAAAUUAUUAGGCAACAAAGCAUACAAUAUUUAUAAAUUAUUUAGGAAACAAGUAAUGACAGGUAGCAAUUAAGUCACAUAAGUCAAAUAAGCAUGUAACAAUUAUAGCAUAAAUUCAAGACUUAAUAUGUGGCGAAGAAUAUGAGAGAAACAAUUAAUAUAAUAAUUAACUCAUGAUAAAGAAAAUAAUUUAAGAUUUCCAGAUAAAUACGCAAACAAUCAAUUUGACGACGUAUAGACACUCGUCACCUUGUCUAUACAUCUUUACACAAGAAAUUCACGUAACAAAUAAUUUAAAGGUUUUAUUCUUUCAAGUCAAGGUUAACCACGAUACUUACCUUAUUCCGCAAUUUUAAAUGAUCACUCGAACACGGCUUUUUCUUUCGAAUUAUUCUCCAAAUCAAUCAAACCUUAACCUCAACCGGACAACUCGAAAUUGACGAACCAAAACUGGCUGGAGCCUUAAGAUCGGAAACCCGAACAGCAACCUCGACCGGACCAACUCGAAAUUGACGAACCAAAGCUUCACUCAAGCCAGCAAAGAAAUCUGACAAAGGAAGCUAAACAGAGUUUUUAAAAGAUACUUUUGGUAGAAUUGGGAUUUGUCUUUAUUUUGUAGAAGAAGAUGAGAUUUCAAAGGUAACAAAAAAUGAGAAGUGAAGUUAAUGCUGAUUUUUAACUUUUGGUCCUGCGUUUUAUGAUGGGAACUGGUAAUAUAAGGAUGUGCUGUGAUGAUGUUAAUGGUGUUUCUAUAGUAAAUCUCACACGGUGAAAAUGGGGGUCUAGAGGUGAUUUACAGUAACGAUGGAAGUGGAUUUAAUUGACGAAAGUCUGAGUGCGAGUUAGUGCUUAAAUGAAGUACCUGUGUCCUUUCUGUUCCUCUCUAUCUCGUCCCCAAAUUUGUUUCGUUCUCCAUUUCUCAGAUCUCUUUUCCUCUCUCUAUCUCUCUUUUU